Molecule: transfer RNA, 72 nt
Filed under: Ovis aries (sheep)
Lineage: Eukaryota; Metazoa; Chordata; Mammalia; Artiodactyla; Bovidae
Rfam family: tRNA
About the family: Transfer RNA (tRNA) molecules are approximately 80 nucleotides in length. Their secondary structure includes four short double-helical elements and three loops (D, anti-codon, and T loops). Further hydrogen bonds mediate the characteristic L-shaped molecular structure. tRNAs have two regions of fundamental functional importance: the anti-codon, which is responsible for specific mRNA codon recognition, and the 3' end, to which the tRNAs corresponding amino acid is attached (by aminoacyl-tRNA synthetases). tRNAs cope with the degeneracy of the genetic code in two manners: having more than one tRNA (with a specific anti-codon) for a particular amino acid; and 'wobble' base-pairing, i.e. permitting non-standard base-pairing at the 3rd anti-codon position.
Source: Rfam by way of RNAcentral
AUCUAACUGACUCAGACGGUAAAGCAUCUGCCUGCAAUGCGGGAGACCCAGGUUCGAUUCCUGGGUCGGGAA